CCACAGUGUAAUACAAAACAGGCAACUCAACUUGUUGCACUCCGAUCAUUUAAAACCAACAAAAAAGUAAAUCCAAAAGUUGAGUAACUAGGAAGGAAAAUAUAUAAGAAAUCUCGAAUUAAAACAAGACGGUACGAUUUAAAUGCAUUCACUGUUAGUUUUACAAUGCAUAGGUAGGGGAGACCGGGGCAACAUGAAGUUCGGGGCAGGACGGGAAAUAAGCUUGUGUCCAUGAAUGGUAAUCGUGUUCGUACCGGUAACGGCGCCAUUUGCACGAAAUUCAGACUGCGCAAGUGCGUCCGAGCAGAGCGAACGUGUUGGAUCUCGUUUUUGCGUUGUAUAGGAAAAAAACUGAUUUUGCAAGUGUUUUAUCCAGUUUUUGGUUAAGAAACUGAUGUGCAGACAUAUACAAUGGUUCGGAACUAUAAACAAAAACAGAUCGUGGCAAAUGGGACCCUGAAGUUCUGGGUCUUAUGGGUUCUUAAUAACAAGAUGGGGCUUCCUCGAGCCUCUGCUACAUAUGAUGUUCCGCCGCCGUGUAAGAAAAGCUCGUGAUACUGUGGAUGACGACACUGAUUCCGGUAACGACUAAGUAUGGGAAAAAGCAUUUGUGACGAUUCAAAACAUUACAGCAAAACAAGUAGAUGAGUUGGCGCAAUGUGUGAAAUCUAUGGAAGCACGGUUAACAGGAAAAUAACUUCGUGUAAUAAGCUUAUCAGUUGGCUCAGCGAAAUCAUACAGAUAACCCACUUAAUGAAGAAACUGGCAUGGCAGGAGAAGAUUGGCCCAGAACCGACAUCAGCCGCAAGAGCUAUGCAUAGCAUAGCCAUAGAACGUAUGUCCCACCCAUGUACAUAUAUAUACGCUCGGAAGCAGAUGCGAGAUGAACUUUUGGAUGAACGGAAGCGGAUGAAGACUGAUGGACAGAAGACUUAAAAAGAUAAAAAACGAAUACAUAAAGUUGGAAAUAAGAAAAUAAAAAGGACUGAAAACGAGCGUCAAGCUAAAAGACUCGCCAAAGAAAUCGAAUCGGAAGAGGAGGACGGUGACUGGGCCUGCGUCUAUUGUGGUUACUUAUACUAAGAGUCAACCGAGGGUUGGGCUAUCUGCAGUAUUUGCCAUGGUUGGGCACACGAUUCCUGUGCCGGAGUAGAUGAAGAAGACGACGAGGCACACAUUUGUGAACGCUGUCUGCCCGAUUAAAAUACGUACUCCUUUUGCCCCGUAGCAUUUCCCAUCUUACCCCGUCCAUGGGGCAAGACGGGAAAUUCGCCUCAUUAUCGUUAAUCAUUAUUUGUCAAAAAAGUUCUGUGAUUUUGCAUGAUAAAAUUAUUAAUUUUAAGAGACAAAUGUAUAAGUGUUACUUGUUUUCUUAAAGAAUUUAAUUAAAGAGUAUAAUUGUCUUUGUA
Molecule: long non-coding RNA, 1409 nt
Organism: Bombyx mori (domestic silkworm)
Lineage: Eukaryota; Metazoa; Arthropoda; Insecta; Lepidoptera; Bombycidae
Exons: 2
Source: RefSeq, a predicted model, not a curated record